Molecule: ribosomal RNA, 497 nt
Filed under: uncultured bacterium
Lineage: Bacteria
Description: partial 16S ribosomal RNA
Rfam family: Bacterial small subunit ribosomal RNA
Source: RNAcentral
GAUGAACGCUGGCGGCGUGCCUAAUACAUGCAAGUCGAGCGAACGGACGAGAAGCUUGCUUCUCUGAUGUUAGCGGCGGACGGGUGAGUAACACGUGGAUAACCUACCUAUAAGACUGGGAUAACUUCGGGAAACCGGAGCUAAUACCGGAUAAUAUUUUGAACCGCAUGGUUCAAAAGUGAAAGACGGUCUUGCUGUCACUUAUAGAUGGAUCCGCGCUGCAUUAGCUAGUUGGUAAGGUAACGGCUUACCAAGGCAACGAUGCAUAGCCGACCUGAGAGGGUGAUCGGCCACACUGGAACUGAGACACGGUCCGGACUCCUACGGGAGGCAGCAGUAGGGAAUCUUCCGCAAUGGGCGAAAGCCUGACGGAGCAACGCCGCGUGAGUGAUGAAGGUCUUCGGAUCGUAAAACUCUGUUAUUAGGGAAGAACAUAUGUGUAAGUAACUGUGCACAUCUUGACGGUACCUAAUCAGAAAGCCACGGCUAACUACGUG